UGUUUCGGCUAGGGGGUCAUCCCGACUUACCAACCCGAUGCAAACUGCGAAUACCGAAGAAUGUUAUCACGGGAGACACACGGCGGGUGCUAACGUCCGUCGUGAAGAGGGAAACAACCCAGACCGCCAGCUAAGGUCCCAAAGUCAUGGUUAAGUGGGAAACGAUGUGGGAAGGCACAGACAGCCAGGAUGUUGGCUUAGAAGCAGCCAUCAUUUAAAGAAAGCGUAAUAGCUCACUGGUCGAGUCGGCCUGCGCGGAAGAUGUAACGGGGCUAAACCAUGCACCGAAGCUGCGGCAGCGACACUAUGUGUUGUUGGGUAGGGGAGCGUUCUGUAAGCCGUUGAAGGUGUAUCGUGAGGUAUGCUGGAGGUAUCAGAAGUGCGAAUGCUGACAUAAGUAACGAUAAUGCGGGUGAAAAACCCGCACGCCGGAAGACCAAGGGUUCCUGUCCAACGUUAAUCGGGGCAGGGUGAGUCGACCCCUAAGGCGAGGCCGAAAGGCGUAGUCGAUGGGAAACAGGUUAAUAUUCCU
This 532-nucleotide ribosomal RNA is filed under the name Citrobacter freundii. RNAcentral describes it as "partial 23S ribosomal RNA". It matches the Rfam family "Bacterial large subunit ribosomal RNA", at positions 911 to 1440 of the family's 2925-position model. The record is from RNAcentral. Lineage: Bacteria; Pseudomonadati; Pseudomonadota; Gammaproteobacteria; Enterobacterales; Enterobacteriaceae.